AGAGGUUUUCCGACCCUUAGUGCUGCAGUUAACGCAUUAAACACUCCGCCUGGGGAGUACGGUCGGAAGAGUGAAACUCAAAGGAAAUUGACGGGGGCCCGCACAAGCGGUGGAGCAUGUGAUUUAAUUUGAAGCAACGCGAAGAACCUUACCAGGUCUUGACAUCCUCUGACAACCCUAGAGAUAGGGCUUUCCCUUCGGGGACAGAGUGACAGGUGGUGCAUGGUUGUCGUCAGCUCGUGUCGUGAGAUGUUGGGUUAAGUCCCGCAACGAGCGCAACCCUUGAUCUUAGUUGCCAGCAUUCAGUUGGGCACUCUAAGGUGACUGCCGGUGACAAACCGGAGGAAGGUGGGGAUGACGUCAAAUCAUCAUGCCCCUUAUGACCUGGGCUACACACGUGCUACAAUGGACAGAACAAAGGGCUGCAAGACCGCAAGGUUUAGCCAAUCCCAUAAAUCUGUUCUCAGUUCGGAUCGCAGUCUGCAACUCGACUGCGUGAAGCUGGAAUCGCUAGUAAUCGCGGAUCAGCAUGCCGCGGUGAAUACGUUCCCGGGCCUUGUACACACCGCCCGUCACACCACGAGAGUUUGCAACACCCGAAGUCGGUGAGGUAA
Molecule: ribosomal RNA, 614 nt
Filed under: Bacillus pumilus
Lineage: Bacteria; Bacillati; Bacillota; Bacilli; Caryophanales; Bacillaceae
Description: bacterial SSU rRNA
Rfam family: Bacterial small subunit ribosomal RNA
Source: RNAcentral